AUGUCAUUGCUUGAGAUCUUUUUUCCUUCUUCCCAUAGCCUCUGGCCAGUAUUGGGUAGUCAUGCCGCUCAGCUAUCUACACCUAUGUGCCCUAUUUGUUGCAAGGAUAUUCUUCUGAUUCAGGAAAAUAACUCAAUGAAGAAGGAAAAUCACAUCAAAAGAAAAUAUUCUGCAAGAAGAUGUCUAGAAUAGGCACAGUAUAGUGAAGAUGAUCUACUCAGACUGGGAAAGCAAGAAUGGGCUCAUUUAAAUACUACAGCAUCGCUGCGAAGAGUACAUGAAUGUGUGAACUGUUUUUUAAACUGAUGUAUUUUCUGUCUCACGAAGUCAGACAGAACAUAAGCGUAAUAUCUGAAACAUUUUUCAUUAUUAAAAAGUUAUUACUGAUAGUGGAUUUACAAAUAUUACUCAGUAUUUACUGGAAUUGUGUUUAAAUAUAACACGUCUAUUUUGCAGUAAUUAGAAGAAUGCUCUACCAAACUUAAAAUAUUCCCACGAUACACAGAUCACAUCUAAAUUAUUUGGAAAUGUUUAUCAAGACCCUAUUUUUGUCAGAAUUCUUGUUGACUUCAGUGGGAACUCUGUCUGAGAAAGGACUAAAUGAUAUCCAAGAAAGGACUGUAGAAUUUGACUUCAAAUGACCACAAAAACCCUAGUAGUAAGCAGAUCUUCACCUCCUUCUUUUUUAAACAGAGAAGAGUGAGCUUCAGUUAAGUUUGGUGGGUUCAAUAACAUCUCUUUUAGCUAGAAAAUGUAUCUGAGGGAAAUUUCUCAGUAUUUCCUCAAUAAACUGUCUGAUAGUUCCCCUUGGAGAAAGAAU
Molecule: long non-coding RNA, 820 nt
Filed under: Numida meleagris (helmeted guineafowl)
Lineage: Eukaryota; Metazoa; Chordata; Aves; Galliformes; Numididae
Description: lncRNA (ENSNMEG00000017528.1)
Source: RNAcentral